UAUUAUAGUGAAGUGUGAACCUGCAAAAUGCACAUUACAGACUAUCAGAGAGCAUUAGCUUUCUUUCUGACUCCCAAGUAUAAUAGACUUUUAGUAAUCAAAAGGAAUUAUAAUUCACACACUAUCAGUCUCAGUCCACUUUCUUUAAGCUCAAUCCCCAAUGCCAAACUCAAGAUCUUGGCAUACACUACUCAAAAGAUUCCUCAAGAUCAUCACAAUCAUCUUCACAAACAAAACAUAAGCAUCUAAUCUUCUUUGUGUCUAAGUUAAACCUUUCCCCUUCAUCUACACAUACAAAUAAUCUACUUUUGGGCUUUUAGCCUCCCUUUUGCCUCAUCUUUUGUCAACAUGCUUGAAUAGUAAAUUGGGAGGAUAAGAAGCAUGUAGGGGUCAUAUUCAUGCACCUAAAAAAAAGAUGGGAUUUUUUAUAUCUUUUAGAAUUACUACCUAUCUAGGAAUAUGUGACAAACUAAACACGAGAUCAGUUGGGCAGCCAAGAAGAUGAGCCGCACUACUGCCGCCGGCCAACCGACACCGCUCCGACGGCCUCUACCAGAACAGCCCCUCUCUCUCUACUGUUCAAGCCCACCACCGCCUUGCACCACUCCGCUCGCGGCGUUCGCCGGCGUUAGCCGCCGGACGAUGCUCCGCCCUCCCUCCUGCCACACCCAAACUCAAGACUUCCAUACCAAUCUUCAACAGAAGCCAAUUACAAUUUUAUUCAAAAUUCCAAAUUUUAAGUAUAUUUAUACAUAUAACCCUAAUUAUAUCUAGGAAACGGAUUAGAGCAUUUUUAAACAAACAUGGUGCAAAUGUUCAAAUCCAUCCCAUCAUCUCAUCCAUGCUCGGGCGAUCCCGUUCAAGUUAUCGCCGCUCCCGGACUCUCCGAGAUUGAUUUCAGGCACACUACCGACAAAACUCGUGGUCUUUCACUUCCUCUUCGAACCUCCCCCUCUCAUGUUGGCAGAUGCGUACUAAUACUAAAUCUCUCUACUGAUUCACACACUCACACACAGAUUCUUUGUUCUUAUUAUGCUACAACUUGUGUUAUUGUGUCUGUUCUGUGUGAAACCAGCUUCAUUUGGUAUGUAAUCUCUUGUCUGUAUUCUGAUGAUGCAACCCUUUUUUCUUUUAUCAUAUAUUUCUGUUUCUUUUCUUUUUAACUGAUUCAGAUUAUUGUUGUUUGUAUUGUUUGUAAGAAAAUUGAAAUCUUAUUUCUUUUUAAUUGAUUUUUUACUGUUUGUGUGAAUUUGUGUGAAUUAGGUUUUUGAUUUAUCAUUUAGAUGUGAUUUAUGUUUUCGAUUUCUUAUAAAUCACAAUAUGUUAGAACUAUGUAACAUCUUGGUCGGUGGUGGUGCUGGUGGUGUAGCGGUGGUUGUACCGGCGGCUGAAUCCGUUACGUUUUUGAAUUCAUAAUUAUUAUGAAUUUGAUUUUUAGGCUAUAAUUCUAUUUUUAAAUUGGAUUGGCUUUAAUUACGGGAUCCGUUUUGUUGACUAUUUAUUAUUUGUCUCUAUUAGCAUUAAUUUGAAUAGCUACAUUUUAAAUUAUAAUUGUGAUUGGAUAAAUACUUUUUAUGAAUAUUCAGUACCAUUUAUGAGAGUCAUUAAGAAUGACUUUAUCGUGCCUUUAAUGGCUUCUUUGUGCCGUUGAUGGCUUUUUGAUCCACUUUUGGAUGCCAUUUUUAUGACUUUGUUUGACAUUUUGUAGAUCAUUAUAUUUAAUAUAUUUACUUACGUUUUAAACUUUGUUUUAUUCUUCACUUAAAUUUUUAAUUUUCAUGUGUCUAACCAAAGGAUUAUCCUUUGGUUAGAAAUUAACUAAUAUUUUUAUAGUAUUUUAUUUUCUAUCUAUUUUUGUUAUAUAUAAUCUUUUGUUUAUAUAUAUGCCCGUGAUUUUCUUGUGUAUUGAUUUAUGUUUUGUUUGAUUUGUUUUUUUCAGGAUACUUUGGAAGCGAGCUGUUAUGGGACUUGUGGGUUUUUCUUUUCUAAUUCAUUUAAGCUUUAUUGUCUAAGCGUCCGGAGUUAUGCUUGCAUGACUUUCGGUUAGAUGAUAAACUUUCUUGAAAGAAAGAAAUCCCAGAUGCGGUUUAUUGUAUUUCGAUACAAUUCAUCUACGAAUGUAGACCUUACAAAAAAAAAAAAAAAGAAUUACUACCUAUCUAAAACUUUGUAAGAAUGUGUUGAUAGCUUGAUGGGACAAUAUGAUUGUAAGGGGCAAGGGGAUUGAAAUCAUAAAAGGGUUGGACCAUUUCAUUUCCAUUUUGGCUUUAAGGUCUCUUUUUUGUUCAUCAUUCACUUGUGUAAACAUUUGGAAAUUAAUGAGAUUGAGAUUGGUCACAACCAAGUGAGUAUAAAUACACUCAAACAUUUGGAAUCUUUUGAUUAUAAAUUUGCAAUGUGCCUCCUUUAU
This 2410-nucleotide long non-coding RNA is filed under the name Daucus carota (carrot). RNAcentral describes it as "long non-coding RNA (DCAR_LNC006525)". The record is from RNAcentral. Lineage: Eukaryota; Viridiplantae; Streptophyta; Magnoliopsida; Apiales; Apiaceae.